UCCUCCUAAAAUGGCUACAAGGCCAGUGGCUCGAGACCCGCCAGGCGCGCGUUCCCUACAGCCGCGCAGCGACGGCUCCUGAAGCUCGCGGGCCCCUCUAGCCGCCGUCGCCUCUAUGGUGGGCAGCCUUCUGCGCCGGGCGGGGGCGCCAGCUAUGCGGUUAGCCUCGGGGAAAUGCCCUCCCGUGGCACUGGGCCAGAAACCGCUAGUGCGGUCCGCUCCAGGGCCUGCCUUCGGGAGGAAGCGGUCUCCAGAUGAUAAUUAGGGCCACCUCCCUGGGCUCAGGUGCUCUGUACCUGGAGAUGCGGCGCUUUCUUCCCGGCCGCCUCACCUGGCUUCGGGUGCCACCUUAUCCAACUGAUCAAAUUUAACAUUAGUACAGGAUAAACUCAUAUCAUGUGGAUGCUGGUGUGAUCCACCAAGAAGAGAGAGAGAGAUCACAAGUAGGCAGAGAGAGAGGGG
Lutra lutra (Eurasian river otter) is the source of this 462-nucleotide long non-coding RNA. RefSeq lists it as uncharacterized. The record is from RefSeq and is a predicted model, not a curated record. Lineage: Eukaryota; Metazoa; Chordata; Mammalia; Carnivora; Mustelidae. The transcript has 3 exons.